GACGAACGCUGGCGGCGUGCUUAACACAUGCAAGUCGAACGGAAAGGCCCUGCUUUUGUGGGGUGCUCGAGUGGCGAACGGGUGAGUAACACGUGAGUAACCUGCCCUUGACUUUGGGAUAACUUCAGGAAACUGGGGCUAAUACCGGAUAGGAGCUCCUGCUGCAUGGUGGGGGUUGGAAAGUUUCGGCGGUUGGGGAUGGACUCGCGGCUUAUCAGCUUGUUGGUGGGGUAGUGGCUUACCAAGGCUUUGACGGGUAGCCGGCCUGAGUGGGUGACCGGCCACAUUGGGACUGAGAUACGGGCCAGACUCCUACGGGAGGCAGCAGUGGGGAAUAUUGCACAAUGGGCGGAAGCCUGAUGCAGCAACGCCGCGUGCGGGAUGACGGCCUUCGGGUUGUAAACCGCUUUCGCCUGUGACGAAGCGUGAGUGACGGUAAUGGGUAAAGAAGCACCGGCUAACUACGUG
This 468-nucleotide ribosomal RNA is filed under the name uncultured bacterium. RNAcentral describes it as "partial 16S ribosomal RNA". It matches the Rfam family "Bacterial small subunit ribosomal RNA", at positions 28 to 507 of the family's 1533-position model. The record is from RNAcentral.